Homo sapiens (human) is the source of this 1769-nucleotide long non-coding RNA. The record is from Ensembl. NCBI's taxonomy places the organism in Eukaryota, Metazoa, Chordata, Mammalia, Primates, Hominidae.
ACUCCGCCAUUUUCCUCCGGAAGUGCGGCACCCAGAGGCCGUCCUGUAGCCGGGCCGGCUUGGGGCUUGGUUCUAUGUCCCUGCGGGUCGGUGCAAGGGCGAAGAGGAACCCGUGGGCCUCAGGGGAUCCCGGGGGGCCGGACCAGUGUUCCCUAGUUGUGGGAGCAGACGCGUGGGCACAUUGCGGGCGGGCAGGGCCUGAAGUGCAGGUGCGGGCAGUGGACCCUGGCGGGGGCUGGGAGGACAGGCGUGGGGUCCCGGCAGUGAAACGGGUUCUAGAGGCGCAGGAGCAGGUAGGAGAGGCCGGUGGCCCUGGGCCCGGAGUCUGCAGGCCGCGCUCCUGUCCUGCCGCUGAGGGACCCGGUUACCAACCUGCAUGACGCUCAGUUUGCCCAUCUGUCCCAGUGGUAACACACAGUUCUCGGGAGACGUUCCCCAUUCCCAGAGGAGUAGUGUGAAACGCGUGCGCCUCUAGUCUUAAACUUGGCGUUUGUAUUAGUUGGGUUUCCUGGUGUCUCUUUAGCAAGUGAAGUUUCUGGUUCCCUCCUUCACUGUGUGACCUGCCUAGUCCUCCUGGGUCGCAUUUACAGAAGUUUAUACGAGACCUAGUUUCCAGGGAAGAACUCACUGAUUCCGCGAGGGAGAUGGCUUAAUGGAUGAUGGUCGUCAGCCUUAAGGAUACUUCAGUCUUAACUGUGUGUUACAAAGUUUGAAAGGGAGGGUUCCCUAUGAAUAAGAAGCACACUUGAAAGAACAGCCAUCUGGUCUAACCUCUCACUGGUGCUUCAGAGGAGGAAAAAAGGUCACAGCUAUGUUUCCAGUGUCCUCUGGGUGUUUCCAAGAGCAACAAGAAAUGAAUAAAUCUCUGUUGAAGAGAUACCAUUUGACAUUUUAGAGAUGGCUGCAUGCAAACUCUUGAAACAUUUGACCACCCUCCAGGGUGCCCCGACUCACUUUCCCUGCAGAUGGAGGCAAGGAGGCUCCACAGACAACCCCCCUGCCUGAGGUCACAUAGUGGCCAGCAGGCCAGAGCUGGCGCAGAGAAAAUACAAGCUGAGCUUAGAACAUCUUCUGCCAGAAAGUAAAAAAGUGCCGACAGAGUAAUGGAGACAAAUCAAAGAGACAUAAAGUCAGCUUGGAAUGUCUACUACUGGCCUAAUCUUGGGGAAUUGGAGCAUCAGAAUCAUGAGCUUUCCUUCUCCCUUAUUUAUUGGUUUUAUUUCUCCAUGUAGAACAAAGAAGAGAAUAAGAAAAUAAUCAUCUGGUAACCAUCAUAGUAAUAAUUGUUCAAACACAAGUCAUCCAUGAAAUGCUAAAUCUAGUGGGUUCUGAGGAGUAACCAGAUAUUUACAGAGCCUCAAAGUAUCUCCAUACAAAAUACGGUUGAACUACAAAAAGAAAAUUGUAACAUUAGCAUGGACAAACCUGGCAGGUACUCCUUAACUCUCCUAAGUAAUAAAAACUGUAAAAUGCAAAUAAGCCUUCGAUGACCUUUACUAACCUUUACUAAAGUAUCAGUGAUGACUUGGUUGUUUAAACAGCUGACAUUUGGGCAAUUUGAGUAUGUCAAACUCAAUAAUACUGGUUUUCAUUUGCAAGAUCCACUUAAAACUUAAGGAGGCCAAAAAACAUCAUUUAAAAUACCCUAUAAAUUAUAAUCAUACAUAUGAUACAAAAAUAUCCUACUUCAGUAAAUAUUGGAAUGUUAUAUAUUUUAUGAGAAACAAUUAAAAUGUGUAAAUAGCCCAGUAAUAAAGUUUUAUAAUCUU